This 2371-nucleotide long non-coding RNA is filed under the name Amborella trichopoda. RNAcentral's name for it is "long non-coding RNA (ATRI_LNC001699)". Lineage: Eukaryota; Viridiplantae; Streptophyta; Magnoliopsida; Amborellales; Amborellaceae. The record is from RNAcentral.
UACGAUCAAAAUGACUACAAAUAUUCAUAGAUUCAUGCCCUAUUUGGCAUGAAACACAAGGAAAGGCGAAAACCCUAAAACCCCAACUUUCAUGAUAAAAAAAAACGAAAUUUCUCCACCAUUUAAUACAUGAAAAGCCUGCAAAAAAUCUGUAUAAAGCCUGCAUACUCGAUCACAAGGCAAAAAAAACAAAAAAAAUGAUAAAAAAAUGACAAAUUUUGAAGAAUCCCGUGAAGAACACUGUGCAGUCUGUGUUCUUCACGGGACUCGCCGAUUCCGUACAGUGAAUCGACAAGUCACUGUACAGAAUCGCCCGAUUCUCUCUAGCACCGAGCGAUUCUGUGUUUUUUGACCGAUUUGACACAUCCAGUAUCAAUUUUCAGGUCGAACAGGGCGAGUCCGAUUUGACUCGACGUUUUUUUAAUCACUGGGUGAGAGAAAGUGAGUGAAACGUAUGCCUACAACGAAAAUAAAGAAAGGCGAAACUAUCGCAAUCCUACAACGAAAGGAAAAAGACGAAAAAGAAGAAAAGGGAAAUGGCUUUCGUUCAUGGGUUUUUUCCUCGUGGGAGAAAGUGCAGGGGAUGGAAACCACAGGAGAGUAGAGGGCAGCAAGUGAAGGUGGAAGGGAGAGAAUGGGGGUCAAGCAAAGGUUGCAGCUGGUGGAGGAGAAGACUUGGUGGAGUGAGGAGAGAUGAGGUUGUGAGUGGCAGAGAUGGCGAUUCAGCUUCAGCCUGGAAUAGCAGGCUGAGAGGAAGGAGGCAGAUAAAGAGAGCGGCAAUGGCAGAUAUGGUGUCGCCUGGUUCAGGCGGGUGAAGUGAAGGUUGAGAUGGGAGCAAAAGAGGGACAGAGACAGCCAACAGGAGGUGGCGCAGAUGACUGAGAUUGGGCUAAGAAUGGUGGAAUUGGAUGACAGAUAGGUGGCUUCAACAGAGGUAGGGGGCAGCAGCUUAGAUGGGGCAAAGAGAUAGAGGUGAGAAAGUUGUCGUUGGCGGAGCAGCAAGGUGAAGGAAAUUACAGGUGGUGGAUGUGGCGAUUGAGAGAAGUGGAGAUGGAGGAAGAGGCGGAUGGGCUGCAUGCGGAGGAUGGAAGAGAAUAGCGGUGAAAGAAUUGCAAGAAUGGAGUAUGGCAGUAAUUGGGGAGGAGAGUGGGAGAGCUUGGGUUAAGAGAAGAUGGAAAGGCUACGUGAAUAGGUGGGUGGUUAUGGUGGUGAAAGAUGGUUGAGGGCAGAGAGCUAGAGAGAGAGAGCAGUGGCAGAAGCGGAGACCGUGAUGCUGGCAGCCGAGAGAGAAGGGCUGAGGUGCAGCUGAGCAAGAGCGAGAAAGGAAUGGUGUAGCAGGGAUUUGCAGCCAGCUCCGGUUGUGGUGUGGAGUUUACGCACGGCGGUGGAUGGUGGCUUGCACACACGGUGUUGGGUGGUAGUAGGGGAGGACAGUUGCGCACGACGAUGGGGGAGGACAGGUUGUACACGGUAUUGGGGUUUGUUGCGCGCGCGGCGAGAAUAUGGGGUUUGUUGCUCGCACGGCGGUAGGUAAGAAAAAGCUUAGGGAAUGGUAAUCGUGGGAGACCACAUAACGUGAGUGGAAAAAUGGGAACGUGAGGGUUCACCAAAAAGGGUGAUGUGAGUGAAUUCCGAAAAAAAGAGAAGAAAGGGAAACAGAGGGACUACCAGAAAAAGAAGGGACAUGUAAGCUCGAGGGUGUACAAAAAGAAAAUAGUCAUGCAGGAGAUAAAAGAAAAAGAAAAGAGAGAAAUAGUGGUCAUGUUGGACCACAAGGAAAGAGUAGGAAAGUUUGUGGUCGUGAGGGACCAUAGGGAGGAUAGAAGAGAGAGAUCGUGGUCAAGCGAGACCACAAGAGGAAAAAAGAAAAAGAGAAUGAAAAAAAGUGAAACACAACGGCGAUGGGGUUCCGACGUUGUGAAAGGGGAGAGAGAAAGAGAGAGAGAGGAGAUAAGCCCAGGGGUACCGACCCAAAAGUUUAUCUCUCCUUCCUCUCUCUCUCAAGAUAUGACCCAAAAUGAAAAAAGCGGAUGGGCUGUAGGCGGAGGAUGGAAGAGAAUAGCGGUGAAAGAAUUGCAAGAAUGGAGUAUGGCAGUAAUUGGGGAGGAGAGUGGGAGAGCUUGGGUUAAGAGAAGAUGGAAAGGCUACGUGAAUAGGUGGGUGGUUAUGGUGGUGAAAGAUGGUUGAGGGCAGAGAGCUAGAGAGAGAGAGCAGUGGCAGAAGCGGAGACCGUGAUGCUGGCAGCCGAGAGAGAAGGGGCUGAGGUGCAGCUGAGCAAGAGCGAGAAAGGAAUGGUGUAGCAGGGAUUUGCAGCCAGCUCCAGUUGUGACGUGGAGUUCAUGCACAGCGGUGGGUGGUGGCUUGCACACAC